This 398-nucleotide ribosomal RNA is filed under the name uncultured bacterium. RNAcentral's name for it is "partial 16S ribosomal RNA". It matches the Rfam family "Bacterial small subunit ribosomal RNA", at positions 523 to 918 of the family's 1533-position model. The record is from RNAcentral.
AUACGUAGGGUGCGAGCGUCGUCCGGAAUUACUGGGCGUAAAGAGCUCGUAGGUGGUUUGUCGCGUCGUCUGUGAAAUUCCGGGGCUUAACUCCGGGCGUGCAGGCGAUACGGGCAUAACUUGAGUACUGUAGGGGAGACUGGAAUUCCUGGUGUAGCGGUGAAAUGCGCAGAUAUCAGGAGGAACACCGGUGGCGAAGGCGGGUCUCUGGGCAGUAACGGACGCUGAGGAGCGAAAGCAUGGGUAGCGAACAGGAUUAGAUACCCUGGUAGUCCAUGCCGUAAACGGUGGGCGCUAGGUGUAGGGGUCUUCCACGACUUCUGUGCCGUAGCUAACGCAUUAAGCGCCCCGCCUGGGGAGUACGGCCGCAAGGCUAAAACUCAAAUGAAUUGACGGGG